GUAUACCUUACUCAUUUGGGCCACAUGCCCCAUUAGCAUGUUCAAUUUAUCACUAUCACUAUGGGUCACAUGCCCUUAGCAUGAUCUGUACUACCAUCAUAAUUGAUUACAUGUUCCCAGCAUGUUUAGUCUACAUGCCUUAACAUGUUCGCUUUAUAGGCCUUUAGCAUAUUAUGAAUACACAUAUUAAGAUAGAGCCAUAGAUAGACAUGUCUUGUUGAAUAUGAAUUGGGACUUGGAUGGUAAUAUUUAUGCUUGAAGUUUGGAAUUUGAUGUUGAUUGUAUUUGUAUAUGUAGUGGUUCAUUAGAACCCAUGCUUGUACAUGUAUCUUGACUUAAUUAAUGUAUGGAAUGUGAGUGAUUGUUAGUAGGGUAGUUGCCCUUUCUUUGGUCUUGAAAUCUAGGUAUUUAAGUGUCACGACCCGAAACUCCCAUCGAGCCCGUGACAACCGCCGCAACGUCCCGAUAGGCACUCAUUACCUCGAAUGCCGAUCGAAACCCCGCAAGGCUUAGCAUCAGCUUCCGCAUCUCCCCAGUGAGCGAUAGUUAUUAAAUCUCACAUUUCAAAAAAAUCAUAAGUCAUUUCCAAAUCAAAACAAUAAAAUAUUACUUUCUGGCUCACAGGGGCAUUUUCGUCAUUUUUUUUCGAAAAUACCGAAACUCGCCAAAAACAUGGUGUAAAAGCUAAAUAUAUUCAUACAUACUUUAAAUCAAAUAAUUGAAGAAUAAAAUUACUUUUAC
This 741-nucleotide long non-coding RNA is filed under the name Theobroma cacao (cacao). RNAcentral's name for it is "long non-coding RNA (TCAC_LNC003010)". The record is from RNAcentral. Lineage: Eukaryota; Viridiplantae; Streptophyta; Magnoliopsida; Malvales; Malvaceae.